AUAUUAAAGUUAAUCAUUUCGAGGAAUUAAUUAAUAUCUUUACUCACAAGAAGGAUAACUCUAAUGCGGGGUGCUCUGGGUCGGGUCCUUCAAAGAUUCACGGGAAAACGAGCAAUCAAGAUGAAACAAACUUGAGCAGGAAGCUACUAAUCCUUUACAGAUAGCAACCAAUGGGGAGGGUAUGCAUAGCGAGCCCAAUUUGGAGAAUGCUCAAGCAAGUAUGCGUAACGAGCUCAAUUUAGAGAAUUCUCCAACGGGUAUGCGUAAAGAGCCCAAUUUGGAGAAUUCUCAAGUAGAGACAGGUUUCGGAAUACAAAGGCUCGAUAGGAAUAAGGGGAAACUUUCUGUUGGGCUAAGCAGACCACCCCCAUCUGGUUGUAGUGGUUGUCAAAUGUUGAGAGAAAUUACCCAUCGUAAAGGCUCCCUUGUUAAGAAACUACAGAUUCAUGGUGAAUUAUCACGUGGACGUUUUUUUCAUGCUCUCAAUAAUGUUUUAGACGACGAUACGACUGUGGUUUUAGAU
Molecule: non-coding RNA, 523 nt
Organism: Theobroma cacao (cacao)
Lineage: Eukaryota; Viridiplantae; Streptophyta; Magnoliopsida; Malvales; Malvaceae
Source: RefSeq, a predicted model, not a curated record